GACGAACGCUGGCGGCGUGCCUAAUACAUGCAAGUCGAACGCAUUUUCUUUCACCGUAGCUUGCUACACCGAAAGAAAAUGAGUGGCGAACGGGUGAGUAACACGUGGGUAACCUGCCCAUCAGCGGGGGAUAACACUUGGAAACAGGUGCUAAUACCGCAUAAUUCCAUUUACCGCAUGGUAAAUGGAUGAAAGGCGCUUUUGCGUCACUGAUGGAUGGACCCGCGGUGCAUUAGCUAGUUGGUGGGGUAACGGCCUACCAAGGCUGCGAUGCAUAGCCGACCUGGGAGGGUGAUCGGCCACACUGGGACUGAGACACGGCCCAGACUCCUACGGGAGGCAGCAGUAGGGAAUCUUCGGCAAUGGACGCAAGUCUGACCGAGCAACGCCGCGUGAUUGAAGAAGGUUUUCGGAUCGUAAAACUCUGUUGUUAGAGAAGAACAAGGAUGAGAGUGGAAAGUUCAUCCCUUGACGGUAUCUAACCAGAAAGCCACGGCUAACUACGUG
Molecule: ribosomal RNA, 507 nt
Filed under: uncultured bacterium
Lineage: Bacteria
Description: partial 16S ribosomal RNA
Rfam family: Bacterial small subunit ribosomal RNA
Source: RNAcentral